CAGAAGUUGUCUGAAGGGAGAAGAGCUGGAGCGAGGAGCAGCGGAUGUGGGGAGAGAGCGGAUGUGGCACAAGUGUGUUCACCCGAGCACAUCGCACCUUGAAAAGCGCUUGUCCCAUCAUGGGCAUGCCACAUAUUUGUUGGAUUGCAUUCUUACCCAAAUACUCUUCGUGAUUGCCUGCUUUGCGGCUUUGGGAUUCUCCAGGGAGUAGAGAACAUUCACACGGAUUGACAUCCCAAUUUUCUCAUCCUGUUGAAUCCGACUUUUUCAUUUACCGACAACUAACUCAAAAAUCUUAAAUUUGGUAUUUUGAAGUUUGUAUUUCCAAAUAUCCCAAAACUCUUCCUUUUCCUAUGGCCCCUCCCCAGCAUGUUCUGAAGUGG
This 383-nucleotide long non-coding RNA is filed under the name Ursus maritimus (polar bear). RNAcentral's name for it is "lncRNA (ENSUMAG00000021100.1)". Lineage: Eukaryota; Metazoa; Chordata; Mammalia; Carnivora; Ursidae. The record is from RNAcentral.